Molecule: ribosomal RNA, 288 nt
Filed under: Triticum aestivum (bread wheat)
Lineage: Eukaryota; Viridiplantae; Streptophyta; Magnoliopsida; Poales; Poaceae
Description: partial small subunit ribosomal RNA
Source: RNAcentral
AUGGCCGCCACAAACGCAGGCAUGGUUCACGUGGUUGAGCCUCAUGGGCACCAAACAUUGAUUCAUAACGGGAGGACCGUCCGAGUAUUUGGCCGUGCAUUUUGGGCCUUUGAGCAAUGCGUGAGGGCUUUUGAGCAUUGUCGGCCCGUCAUCGCCAUUGAUGGCACGUUCUUGACCGGACAAUACAAGGGCACUUUAUUGGUUGCAAUAGCAAGUGAUGCCAAUAACCGGGUGUUGCCUUUGGCUUUCGCUUUGGUUGAGGUGGAGAACAAUGAUAACUGGGAGUGA